This 505-nucleotide ribosomal RNA is filed under the name uncultured Streptococcus sp. RNAcentral describes it as "bacterial SSU rRNA". It matches the Rfam family "Bacterial small subunit ribosomal RNA", at positions 28 to 508 of the family's 1533-position model. The record is from RNAcentral. Lineage: Bacteria; Bacillati; Bacillota; Bacilli; Lactobacillales; Streptococcaceae.
GACGAACGCUGGCGGCGUGCCUAAUACAUGCAAGUAGAACGCACAGUUUAUACCGUAGCUUGCUACACCAUAGACUGUGAGUUGCGAACGGGUGAGUAACGCGUAGGUAACCUGCCUGGUAGCGGGGGAUAACUAUUGGAAACGAUAGCUAAUACCGCAUAAUAUUAAUUAUUGCAUGAUAAUUAAUUGAAAGGUGCAAUUGCACCACUACCAGAUGGACCUGCGUUGUAUAGCUAGUAGGUGAGGUAACGGCUCACCUAGGCGACGAUACAUAGCCGACCUGAGAGGGUGAUCGGCCACACUGGGACUGAGACACGGCCCAGACUCCUACGGGAGGCAGCAGUAGGGAAUCUUCGGCAAUGGACGAAAGUCUGACCGAGCAACGCCGCGUGAGUGAAGAAGGUUUUCGGAUCGUAAAGCUCUGUUGUAAGAGAAGAACGGGUGUGAGAGUGGAAAGUUCACACUGUGACGGUAUCUUACCAGAAAGGGACAGCUAACUACGUGC